AUACGUAGGUGGCAAGCGUUAUCCGGAUUUACUGGGUGUAAAGGGCGCGUAGGCGGGGGUGCAAGUCAGAUGUGAAAUCUAUGGGCUUAACUCAUAAACUGCAUUUGAAACUGUAUCUCUUGAGUGCUGGAGAGGUAGACGGAAUUCCUUGUGUAGCGGUGAAAUGCGUAGAUAUAAGGAAGAACACCAGUGGCGAAGGCGGUCUACUGGACUGUAACUGACGCUGAGGCGCGAAAGUGUGGGGAGCAAACAGGAUUAGAUACCCUGGUAGUCCACACUGUAAACGAUGAAUGCUAGGUGUAGGGGGUAUCGACCCCUUCUGUGCCGCAGUCAACACAAUAAGCAUUCCGCCUGGGGAGUACGGCCGCAAGGUUGAAACUCAAAGGAAUUGACGGGG
This 397-nucleotide ribosomal RNA is filed under the name uncultured bacterium. RNAcentral's name for it is "partial 16S ribosomal RNA". It matches the Rfam family "Bacterial small subunit ribosomal RNA", at positions 523 to 918 of the family's 1533-position model. The record is from RNAcentral.